AUUGAACGCUGGCGGCAGGCCUAACACAUGCAAGUCGAGCGGAUGAAGGGAGCUUGCUCCUGAAUUCAGCGGCGGACGGGUGAGUAAUGCCUAGGAAUCUGCCUGGUAGUGGGGGAUAACGUCCGGAAACGGGCGCUAAUACCGCAUACGUCCUGAGGGAGAAAGUGGGGGAUCUUCGGACCUCACGCUAUCAGAUGAGCCUAGGUCGGAUUAGCUAGUUGGUGGGGUAAAGGCCUAACAAGGCGACGAUCCGUAACUGGUCUGAGAGGAUGAUCAGUCACACUGGAACUGAGACACGGUCCAGACUCCUGCGGGGGGCAGCAGUGGGGAAUAUUGGACAAUGGGCGAAAGCCUGAUCCAGCCAUGCCGCGUGUGUGAAGAAGGUCUUCGGAUUGUAAAGCACUUUAAGUUGGGAGGAAGGGCAGUAAGUUAAUACCUUGCUGUUUUGACGUUACCAACAGAAUAAGCACCGGCUAACUUCGUG
This 484-nucleotide ribosomal RNA is filed under the name uncultured bacterium. RNAcentral describes it as "partial 16S ribosomal RNA". It matches the Rfam family "Bacterial small subunit ribosomal RNA", at positions 30 to 507 of the family's 1533-position model. The record is from RNAcentral.